UCCAGACUCCUACGGGAGGCAGCAGUGGGGAAUAUUGGGCAAUGGGGGAAACCCUGACCCAGCAACGCCGCGUGAAGGAAGAAGGCCUUCGGGUUGUAAACUUCUUUUACCAGGGACGAAGAACGUGACGGUACCUGGAGAAAAAGCCACGGCUAACUACGUGCCAGCAGCCGCGGUAAUACGUAGGGAGCAAGCGUUGUCCGGAAUUACUGGGCGUAAAGGGCGCGUAGGUGGGCGCUUAAGUCAGGUGUGAAAACUCCGGGCUCAACCUGGAGACUGCACUUGAAACUGGGUGUCUUGAGGGCAGGAGAGGAAAGUGGAAUUCCUAGUGUAGCGGUGAAAUGCGUAGAUAUUAGGAGGAACACCAGUGGCGAAGGCGACUUUCUGGACUGUAUCUGACGCUGAGGCGCGAAAGCGUGGGUAGCGAACGGGAUUAGAUACCCGAGUAC
RNAcentral lists this ribosomal RNA (449 nucleotides) under uncultured bacterium. Its description in RNAcentral is "bacterial SSU rRNA". It matches the Rfam family "Bacterial small subunit ribosomal RNA", at positions 330 to 793 of the family's 1533-position model. The record is from RNAcentral.